AACGAACGCUGGCGGCAGGCUUAACACAUGCAAGUUGAACGUGAUUUGCUGGGUGCUUGCACCGAGCAAUGAAAGUAGCGCACUGGUGAGUAACACGUGGGAACGUACCUUUUGGUGGGGAACAACAGUUGGAAACGACUGCUAAUACCGCAUAAGCCCUGAGGGGGAAAGAUUUAUCGCCGAAAGAACGGCCCGCGGAAGAUUAGGUAGUUGGUGGGGUAACGGCCUACCAAGCCGACGAUCUAUAGCUGGUCUGAGAGGACGAUCAGCCACAUUGGAACUGAGACACGGUCCAA
RNAcentral lists this ribosomal RNA (296 nucleotides) under uncultured bacterium. Its description in RNAcentral is "partial 16S ribosomal RNA". It matches the Rfam family "Bacterial small subunit ribosomal RNA", at positions 29 to 334 of the family's 1533-position model. The record is from RNAcentral.